This 443-nucleotide ribosomal RNA is filed under the name uncultured bacterium. Its description in RNAcentral is "partial 16S ribosomal RNA". It matches the Rfam family "Bacterial small subunit ribosomal RNA", at positions 338 to 795 of the family's 1533-position model. The record is from RNAcentral.
CCUACGGGGGGCAGCAGUGGGGAAUAUUGGGCAAUGGGCGCAAGCCUGACCCAGCAACGCCGCGUGAAGGAAGAAGGCUUUCGGGUUGUAAACUUCUUUUGUCAGGGACGAAGCAAGUGACGGUACCUGAUGAAUAAGCUACGGCUAACUACGUGCCAGCCGCCGCGGUAAUACGUAGGAGGCAAGCGUUAUCCGGAUUUAUUGGGUGUAAGGGGCGUGCAGGCGGGAAUGCAAGUCAGAUGUGAAAACUAUGGGCUCAACCCAUAGCCUGCAUUUGAAACUGUAUGUCUUGAGUGCGGGAGAGGGAAGCGGAAUUCCGGGUGUAGCAGUGAAAUGCGUAGAUAUGCGGAGGAACACCAGUGGCGAAGGCAGAUUGCUGGACAGUAACUGACGCUGAGGCGCGAAAGCGUGGGGAGCAAACAGGAUUAGAUACCCGAGUAGUC